GAUGAACGCUGGCGGCGUGCCUAAUACAUGCAAGUCGAGCGAACAGACGAGGAGCUUGCUCCUCUGACGUUAGCGGCGGACGGGUGAGUAACACGUGGAUAACCUACCUAUAAGACUGGGAUAACUUCGGGAAACCGGAGCUAAUACCGGAUAAUAUAUUGAACCGCAUGGUUCAAUAGUGAAAGACGGUUUUGCUGUCACUUAUAGAUGGAUCCGCGCCGCAUUAGCUAGUUGGUAAGGUAACGGCUUACCAAGGCAACGAUGCGUAGCCGACCUGAGAGGGUGAUCGGCCCCACUGGAACUGAGACACGGUCCAGACUCCUACGGGAGGCAGCAGUAGGGAAUCUUCCGCCAUGGGCGAAAGCUUGACGGAGCAACGCCGCGUGAGUGAUGAAGGUCUUCGGAUCGUAAAACUCUGUUAUUAGGGAAGAACAAAUGUGUAAGUAACUAUGCACGUCUUGACGGUACCUAAUCAGAAAGCCACGGCUAACUACGUG
This 497-nucleotide ribosomal RNA is filed under the name uncultured bacterium. Its description in RNAcentral is "partial 16S ribosomal RNA". It matches the Rfam family "Bacterial small subunit ribosomal RNA", at positions 28 to 507 of the family's 1533-position model. The record is from RNAcentral.